GUCUACAACCAUGCCACUCUGAACACGCCUGAUCUCAUCUGACCUUGGAAACAAAGCAGGGUCGGGCCUGGAUAGUACUUGGAUGGGGGACCACCUAGAAAUACCAGGUACUGUAGGUU
This 119-nucleotide ribosomal RNA is filed under the name Pteropus alecto (black flying fox). Lineage: Eukaryota; Metazoa; Chordata; Mammalia; Chiroptera; Pteropodidae. The record is from RNAcentral.